Molecule: long non-coding RNA, 6099 nt
Organism: Dreissena polymorpha
Lineage: Eukaryota; Metazoa; Mollusca; Bivalvia; Myida; Dreissenidae
Exons: 6
Source: RefSeq, a predicted model, not a curated record
GUUUGGUCGUUGAAGGGUUCGGACGUGUUUUUCGAAGCUCUCGACGUCGUGACCUAAUUAUAAUUUGAACUGCGCGGGUAAAGAACGCUCAUUUGCGGCUUGGACAUUGACCAAUACGGACGUGUUUUUAAAGCGCUCUGAAAAAAGUUUUGACUUUUAAAUUUUUUUUACUACGACAGAAUCUUAGUUGACUGAUGGUCUUUGACAAAGACAGACUUGUUUUUGUGAGCUCUGAAAAAAAUUUGACUUUGAAAUAUUUUUACGAUUAAAAAGUUUCAGUUGACUUUUGAACGUUGACGAAGACGGACGUACUUUCGUGAGCUCUGACUAUUGAUGAAAAGUUUUCGCGUUAUAGAAUAGCGACUUGGUACUCAGGUUGUUGAAUGACUGGAUGACUGAAGUGUUAGGUUAUUGUUAUGAGAUAACAACUUGACUUUGACUUGAGUUGUGAAAUGAAAUCAUACUCUUAUGCGAUGUUAACUUUUGAACGUUUAGUAUUGACUGACAACGAAAUUUUGUGAGCGUUAUAUAUGAAAUGUUUGACUUACAUUAAUUUUUUUGAACGACUUGACUUCACUUUAAGUUUUGACAUCGGACUGAUCGGACGUGUUUUUUUAAGCUCUGACUGUUGUGAAUAAUUAAAUUUAUGUUGUGGUGUCAAGCGAUUGACUGUCAGUUGAGGUUCAGAUGUCGAGCUGUGCGGACGUGUUCAUCGAGCUGCUGUCUACAAAAAACUGGGCUGUGGUGAGUAUUGCAGAUUUAACUUGUAUGUGUGGUUUUUAGUUAACGAUGCUUAAUGAAAACUGUUAUUGUACACUUAGUAUGGAAUGAUGUGAAUGAUGAUAUGAUGGGUAGAAUUAAUCAGUGCUUGUGUCUAGAAAUGCUGAAUGUUUAUUGAAAAGGCUAAAUGCUAGCCAGUACUAAGAGUUGAGCUACCGUGGGAAUGUGAAACGAACUGAUGGUGUAAUAUGAUGGUGUAUUGACAAACUUUUCUUAUAUGUACUAAAUAUGAUAUUGCUUUACUUGUAUUUGCAUGCUGUUAACAUUUCUAUUUUGUUCCAGUGUGCUGUGGUGAGUACUGUAGAUAUUACUUGAUUUUUAGUGUCUAUGAAUGCUGAUGUAUGAUAGCUAUAGCAUGAGCUCAAUGCUAACCAGUAUUAUGAGUUGAUGUAUUGUGGUGAUGCUAAUCGAACUGAUGAUGUAACAUGAUGGUGAACACUUACUGAAUGCAUAAAAUUUAUUGAAUUGCGUUUGUUGAUAUGCACUAUAAUAUGAUAAAUGUAUUGCUUAACAUGUAUAUUUCAUGAUGUUUAAUUUCAGUGGGCUGUGGUGAGUACUGUAGAUUGUAUUGCCUAUGUAUAGAAUUCAAUAAAAGAUUAUGACUGAAAACUGCUUUUGAUUCUUUUUGAACAGUUUUAGGGACUAUAAGUCUAUAACAAAAAUAUGUCGGUUGGCGUUCAUACAGCAAUGUUUUGAGUAGUACAGAAAUGUUUCUACGUUUGUGGUCGCCAGUUGUCUGUGAUGUGUAAAGUGAAAAAUACACGGAGCUUUGAAUACAACAAACAUUUACUGUUUUAACACAGAUUGUGUGCUAUGCAUUUUUCGAUGUAGAUCUUUUUCAGAUUUGACAUGAAAUGUAGACCUGACAUUUGAACAGAGCUGGGAAACGAAAAGGUAAGUUUGUUAAAUUUCACAAUGAACACUUGUGUUUUGACAAAAGAAGAGAUAAAGUGAGUUUUGUCAUCAUCAUGGUUUCUUUCAGAGUAUAACUCGUGAACAGAUGAAAACCUAUUUUUUGCUAGAUUUUCAUGUACUCUUUUUUUGGAUGAUAAGUAUGUCAGUAACUCAAAAUCAUACGGCUAGUACAGUAUGGAACAUGAAUGCUUUGUUCAGAUUUUCAGAUGUGUGCUGGCAGUUUAAGUCUGGCAGCUGAAGUGAACAGUCGUGUUUUCUGGAGCUCCAACAAUAUGCUAGAAGGAGUGCUUAUCCAGUGAUGAUAUGACAGUUGGAGUGAACAGUGGAGCCAAGCAGUCUUGUUUUUGGAGCUACUCAACAAGCCUUGAAGAUGCUGAUGGCAGUGAUGGGUUUUCAAGCUGACCUGAACAGAAAAGCACUCAUAUGGUAAGUACAAAAUAGUUGUUAUAUGGGAUGUUUUGUGCAUGCUUUUAUGUUUCAGGUGUACUUGCUGACAGCGACGAAGACGAAUCAAGAAGAGGAACAUUGUUGAGAAAGUGAUUGGGACUUGCAAACAGGGUAAGUGUAACACUUGUGUUUGUUUAAUUUGUAACAUGCGUGCUUUGCUCUGUUUCAGAUUUCACAUGCAGAAAUUAAACAGGAUUUCAACUGCUGAGACACAAUUCAUCAAAAGUAAGGUAAGUUUUAAUUCAUUGAUUUGAGUUGUACAAUGUGUUCUUUACUUUAUUUCAGAUUCGAGUCACUGGUUUACACAUGGAAGAAGAUUUCCACGUCUGUUACUCAACUCUACAGAAGCAAGGUAAGUCGAUCAAAUUUUUGUUUUCAUUGACUGCUGUAAUGUGAUGUUAUGCUAUUUUUUAUGUGUGCUAUGCAGAGAUGGAGAAUUCAAUUUUAAGAAAGAUUAACUGCUGCAGAUUAGCUCUGCUCUGUGUUGAUUUUUGUUCAAAAACGUUUAAAAUGUAUGUGUGUUUUCAGAUGUUUUGUUUCAGUUGAUGUCCAGAUGGCAAGCAGUACAGACGUGUUUCUUGGAGCUGCCAAACAGUGAGUACAAACGUUUUAUAUUUUUCAGUUGUUUACUCAUAGAAGUCUGUGAAAGAUGAUAACAAGGGUUGAAUCUAUCAGCACUUGUGUCUAAAAAUGCUGAUGUGUGACGGUUUACUGAAAAGGGUAAAUGCUAGCCAGUACUUACACUUGAGCAACCGUGGGAUGUCGAACUAACUGAUGAUGUACUAUGAUGGUGAACACUUACUAUGUGUAUCAAAAUGCUUUUGUUGAUAUUUACUAUAGAUGAUUUGAUAUUGGUUAACAUUUGUUUGCAUGCUGUUAACAUUUCUAUUUCAUUUCAGGGAGCUGUGGUGAGUAUUGUAGUAUACAUUUGUUUCAAUAAACCAUGAUUAAUGAAAACUGAUUUCGAUUCUUUUUUACAGUUUUAGGGAUUAUCACUCUAUAACAACUCUGUCGGUUGGUGUUCGUGAAUGUGAGCUUAAUGUUUGAGUAGUACAAAAAUGUCUUUACUUUUGUGAUCGCCAGUUGUCUGUGAUUUAAAGUGAAAAAUACACAGAGCUAUGAAGCAUACACUUGUUUCAAUAUUUUAUCAAUGAUUCAUCAAUGAUAGUGUGCUAUGCAUGUUUUGAUUUAGUUCGUUUCAGGUAUGACAUGACAUGAAGAGUUGACAGUCGAACAGAGCUGAGCAACGCAGAAAGGUAAGUGUGUUUCAUUUUAGUAUGAACACUUGUAUUUUGUUUUUAUAUGGUAUGUUUUGUGCAUGCUAUGUUUCAGGUGUACUUGUAGUCAGCGACGAAGACGAUUCAAGAAGAGGAACAUUGCUGAGAAAGUGAAUGGGACAUGCAAACAGGGUAAGUGUUACAAUUGUUGGUUUGAUUUUUACCAUGCAUACUUUGCUUUACUCUGUUUCAGAUUUCACAUGCAGAAAUGGUCUCAUAGCAGUGCCAACAGUGAAUAAGGAUUUCAUCUGCUGUGAAACAACUCAACAGAAAGUAGGUAAGCAUUGAAUGAAUGCACUUGAGCUGUACAAUUUGAUGUGAUGCUUUUCUCUGUUUCAGAUUCAAGUUCCUGGUGUAGACAGAGAAAUGUGUUUGAAGAAGGAAUUCUACUACUGUGAUUCAACUCUACAGAAGCAAGGUAAGUAGAAACAAAAUUUUGGUUUAAUUUAACUCAUGUGUUUUGCACUGCAUGCUAUUUUUCAGGUCUCUCAUGCAGUGAGGGAAAAGAAGAAGAUUUCAAGAAAAAAUCACUGCUGCAACUCAGGCCGAUAACAAGGUAAGCGUUUACUAUAUUGUAUACAAAAUGUUUUUCUGUUUUACUCUGUUUCAGGUUUCAAUUGCAGAGAUGUUGCAGAGAUGAUUUGACAGCUUGUGGCAGAAAAGAAAUUCAGCAUCUGUUUCUCGACUCUAGCCACGAGGUAAGUCAAAACAAAUAUACUGGUUUGUAUGUAAUGUUGUUAUGCCCUUCUAUGUUUCAGACUUACAUUGCUGUGACUGUUCCACAGUGGGUCAAAAAAGAGACGAAUACAGGUUUCAAGAAGAAAAUUGGCUGUUAAAAACCUGCACAAAAUAUGAGGUAAGUAAACUACUCUUUUGGUUUGUUUUGUGCUUUGUUAUGCUUAACUAUUUUUCAGAUUGGAAUGGUGGGUCGUUACAGAGCAGACUUUUGGACUACUGAGAAGUUGAGAAACAGAGAAUGAUUCAAGAUCAGCUAGGUAAGUCUUGAUUAUUAUGCAUUGCUAAAUGUUUUUUUCAUUCCAGUAUGGCUGUGGUAAGUACACAAACUUUCUAUAAUUUAAUAUUGAACUGUUUUUAUGACCUGUAUUCUGCAUUGUAAAAUGUCUGUUUUUCAUUUCAGUAUCCUGUGGUAAGUACACUAACUUUGUAUAAUUUCAUAUUGAAAUGUUUUGAUGACUUGUAUCCUGCUAUGCAAUGCUUAAUAUAUUUUUCAUUUCAGUGUGGCUGUGGUAAGUACAAUUGCCUUCUUUAAUUUUCAUAUUGAACUGUUUUGAUGAUUUGUAUACUGCUAUGCAAUGCUUAUUGUUUUUUACAUUUCAGUGUGGCUGUGGUAAGUACAAUUGCCUUUCAUAUUGAACUGUUUUGAUGACCUGUAUUUUGCAUUGUAAAAUGUGUUUCUUUUUCAUUUCAGUAUGGCUGUGGUAAGUACACAAACUUUCUUUAAUUUUCAUAUUGAACUGUUUUGAUGACUUGUAUUCUGCUAUACAAAAUGUGCUUUUUUCAAUUUCAGGUCAGCAAUGGUAAGUAUAGUGUGUUUUUUUAUGUAUAAUUUUGUAUACAUAUUGUUUUUUUUCAUCAUAGCAUGUAUUUUAUAUUUAUGCUUUGUGUAAGUAAAAUGUUCAUAAAUCAUUCUUAUCUUCAAACUAAAAAUGUAUUGUGCUAUGCAAAAUGUCUGUAUGAUUUCAGUUGCCAGAGGUGAGUACCAUUACAGUUGAAAAGUUAGUUUUGUUUAGUUAAAGUUUUGGUUCACAGUUCUGUUUGUUAUUUGGCAAAAUUUACAUGUAUGCAUUGAGUCUUGAUUUCAGCUCGAUUGUGGACUGAAGAAGAUUGCCCGCAGAGGGAUUGGAUACAAAAUACAAAGUAAGUACUGAGUUUCUUACUAAAAGUUUUGAGUUGUAUUCAUUGUAUGUUAAUAUGCUAUGAUUGCUAUGAACAUGACUUUUGUAUUUCAGCGAAGACAACAUAGGUAAGUAAAAUUGUUAUCUGUUUCAUGUUUACUGUUACAGUUCAAUAUUGUGUUUAUAAAUUGUAAGUUGUACAAACACAUUCAAAAGUUUCUAAUCAUGCUUUCGAUUUCAUUUCAGCUUUACUGCUAGACGAGUGUUCUCUACUACUUGACGAGUCAGCUUUACUACCAGGCGAGCAGUGACAACAAGGCGCCUUUGUGGAAACAACACAACAAAAAACUGUACUGCUAGACGAGCAGUGACAGAAAGGCGCCUGAACAUGCAACACAAAACAAAAAAUGCCAAUAUACAAACCUUGAUGUGAACACCGAGUAGUCAAUGCAUACGUGUGGCGUACAGCUGCGACAAAACCGUGGGUCCAUCGCACCGAUAACUCGAACAUUGGACCGCGUAUGGACAUCAGUGCAACUUUGUGAAUCCAUGUAACUUUGUGAAUCCAUGUAACAUUGCGAAUAUGUGUCGAUCGAAAAAUGUGUACAUUCUGCACUGAAACGAACUCGGUGUUGCAAGUGGCAAGUGUUGACAGUGUGUAUGUUUAUGUUUAUGUUUUUACAUGAAAACUAAAGGAGAUUGUUCUCCUACCUUUUUUUUCCUUGUUUUAUUGCGCUGGCCAGCAAUAUUGAUGUAUGUGUUUGUGUUUAAACUAUGCAAUACCAAAAUCAAACAAAAAUAAACAUUAACAGUCAUUAACUGUG